UUCCAGACUCCUACGGGAGGCAGCAGUGAGGAAUAUUGGUCAAUGGGAGGAAUCCUGAACCAGCCAUGCCGCGUGCAGGACGACGGCUCUACGAGUUGUAAACUGCUUUUGUACCGGGGUAAAAUGCCUUACGAGUAGGGUUUUGAAAGUACGGUACGAAUAAGGAUCGGCUAACUCCGUGCCAGCAGCCGCGGUAAUACGUAGGGGGCGAGCGUUAUCCGGAUUUACUGGGUGUAAAGGGAGCGUAGACGGCCAUGCAAGCCUGAUGUGAAAGGUGUGGGCACAACCCGCACACUGCAUUGGGAACUGUAUGGCUAGAGUGUCGGAGGGGCAGGCGGAAUUCCUGGUGUAGCGGUGAAAUGCGUAGAUAUCAGGAGGAACACCGGUGGCGAAGGCGGCCUGCUGGACGACGACUGACGUUGAGGCUCGAGAGCGUGGGGAGCGAACAGGGUUAGAUACCCGUGUA
RNAcentral lists this ribosomal RNA (466 nucleotides) under uncultured bacterium. RNAcentral's name for it is "partial 16S ribosomal RNA". It matches the Rfam family "Bacterial small subunit ribosomal RNA", at positions 329 to 792 of the family's 1533-position model. The record is from RNAcentral.